RNAcentral lists this ribosomal RNA (432 nucleotides) under Triticum aestivum (bread wheat). Its description in RNAcentral is "partial small subunit ribosomal RNA". The record is from RNAcentral. Lineage: Eukaryota; Viridiplantae; Streptophyta; Magnoliopsida; Poales; Poaceae.
AUGAUAUCACGGAGGCAAUCUUCCUCCGCAUCCGGCCGCACGAAGCCGAGUCCCUUGUGCGUGUUUCGCUCACGAGCAAGUUCUGGAGCAGUCGCCUCUCCGGCAGUAGCUUCUGCAGCCAGUACGUCGAGCGCCAUGGUAACACCCCACUUCUCGGUUUCUUCUACCGCUGGCCUGAGUUGUAUGAACCGAGGGGUGAGGAUACAGUCGGCCCCUUCGUUUCCACGAGCCUCCUCCACCCAUCUUAUCCAGAUGAUAUGGCCGAGAUGGAUUGUGCCAUGGACUGCCGGCAUGGCCGGGCUCUGCUCGCUGAUCUCUAUGCCGACCCAGACCAGUGAAGUUCUUGAUCUGGGACCCGAUCACCGGCCGCCGCAGGAUUCUCGUCGCACCCAGAGAGUACGACAGCCGGCAUGCUGCCGUGAUAUGUGCUGA